CCGGCACGGGUGAGUAACACGUAUCCAACCUGCCGUCUACUCUUGGACAGCCUUCUGAAAGGAAGAUUAAUACAAGAUGGCAUCAUGAGUCCGCAUGUUCACAUGAUUAAAGGUAUUCCGGUAGACGAUGGGGAUGCGUUCCAUUAGAUAGUAGGCGGGUAACGGCCCACCUAGUCUUCGAUGGAUAGGGGUUCUGAGAGGAAGGUCCCCCACAUUGGAACUGAGACACGGUCCAA
RNAcentral lists this ribosomal RNA (236 nucleotides) under uncultured bacterium. RNAcentral's name for it is "partial 16S ribosomal RNA". It matches the Rfam family "Bacterial small subunit ribosomal RNA", at positions 100 to 334 of the family's 1533-position model. The record is from RNAcentral.